Molecule: ribosomal RNA, 2471 nt
Filed under: Listeria monocytogenes
Lineage: Bacteria; Bacillati; Bacillota; Bacilli; Caryophanales; Listeriaceae
Description: partial 23S ribosomal RNA
Rfam family: Bacterial large subunit ribosomal RNA
Source: RNAcentral
UCCCAAGGCUAAAUACUCCCUAGUGACCGAUAGUGAACCAGUACCGUGAGGGAAAGGUGAAAAGCACCCCGGAAGGGGAGUGAAACAGUUCCUGAAACCGUGUGCCUACAAGUAGUUAGAGCCCGUUAAUGGGUGAUAGCGUGCCUUUUGUAGAAUGAACCGGCGAGUUACGAUUUGUUGCAAGGUUAAGCGGAAAAAGCGGAGCCGUAGCGAAAGCGAGUCUGAAUAGGGCGCAUAAGUAACAGGUCGUAGACCCGAAACCAGGUGAUCUACCCAUGUCCAGGAUGAAGGUAAGGUAAUACUUACUGGAGGUCCGAACCCACGCACGUUGAAAAGUGCGGGGAUGAGGUGUGGGUAGCGGAGAAAUUCCAAUCGAACUUGGAGAUAGCUGGUUCUCUCCGAAAUAGCUUUAGGGCUAGCCUCGAGGUAAAGAGUCAUGGAGGUAGAGCACUGUUUGGACUAGGGGCCCUUCUCGGGUUACCGAAUUCAGAUAAACUCCGAAUGCCAUGUACUUAUACUCGGGAGUCAGACUGCGAGUGAUAAGAUCCGUAGUCGAAAGGGAAACAGCCCAGACCACCAGUUAAGGUCCCCAAAUAUAUGUUAAGUGGAAAAGGAUGUGGGGUUGCUUAGACAACCAGGAUGUUGGCUUAGAAGCAGCCACCAUUGAAAGAGUGCGUAAUAGCUCACUGGUCGAGUGACCCCGCGCCGAAAAUGUACCGGGGCUAAACAUAUUACCGAAACUGUGGAUGAACCUCUUUAGAGGUUCGUGGUAGGAGAGCGUUCUAAGGGCGGUGAAGUCAGACCGGAAGGACUGGUGGAGCGCUUAGAAGUGAGAAUGCCGGUAUGAGUAGCGAAAGAAGGGUGAGAAUCCCUUCCACCGAAUAUCUAAGGUUUCCUGAGGAAGGCUCGUCCGCUCAGGGUUAGUCGGGACCUAAGCCGAGGCCGAUAGGCGUAGGCGAUGGACAACAGGUAGAGAUUCCUGUACCAGUGCUAAUUGUUUAACCGAUGGGGUGACACAGAAGGAUAGGGAAUCGCACGAAUGGAAAUGUGCGUCCAAGCAGUGAGUGUGAGAAGUAGGCAAAUCCGCUUCUCGCGAAGCAUGAGCUGUGAUGGGGAAGGAAAUUAAGUACGGAAGUUCCUGAUUUCACGCUGUCAAGAAAAGCCUCUAGGAAGAGUAGUACUGCCCGUACCGCAAACCGACACAGGUAGAUGAGGAGAGAAUCCUAAGGUGAGCGAGAGAACUCUCGUUAAGGAACUCGGCAAAAUGACCCCGUAACUUCGGGAGAAGGGGUGCUCUAUUAGGGUGCAAGCCCGAGAGAGCCGCAGUGAAUAGGCCCAGGCGACUGUUUAGCAAAAACACAGGUCUCUGCAAAACCGUAAGGUGACGUAUAGGGGCUGACGCCUGCCCGGUGCUGGAAGGUUAAGAGGAGUGCUUAGCUUCGGCGAAGGUACGAAUUGAAGCCCCAGUAAACGGCGGCCGUAACUAUAACGGUCCUAAGGUAGCGAAAUUCCUUGUCGGGUAAGUUCCGACCCGCACGAAAGGCGCAACGAUCUGGGCACUGUCUCAACGAGAGACUCGGUGAAAUUAUAGUACCUGUGAAGAUGCAGGUUACCCGCGACAGGACGGAAAGACCCCGUGGAGCUUUACUGCAACCUGAUAUGGAAUGUUUGUACCGCUUGUACAGGAUAGGUAGGAGCCGAAGAGACGUGUGCGCUAGCAUACGAGGAGGCAAUGGUGGGAUACUACCCUGGCUGUAUGACCAUUCUAACCCGCCACGCUUAGCGCGUGGGGAGACAGUGUCAGGUGGGCAGUUUGACUGGGGCGGUCGCCUCCUAAAGAGUAACGGAGGCGCCCAAAGGUUCCCUCAGAAUGGAUGGAAAUCAUUCGCAGAGUGUAAAGGCACAAGGGAGCUUGACUGCGAGACUGACAAGUCGAGCAGGGACGAAAGUCGGGCUUAGUGAUCCGGUGGUUCCGCAUGGAAGGGCCAUCGCUCAACGGAUAAAAGCUACCCCGGGGAUAACAGGCUUAUCUCCCCCAAGAGUCCACAUCGACGGGGAGGUUUGGCACCUCGAUGUCGGCUCGUCGCAUCCUGGGGCUGUAGUCGGUCCCAAGGGUUGGGCUGUUCGCCCAUUAAAGCGGCACGCGAGCUGGGUUCAGAACGUCGUGAGACAGUUCGGUCCCUAUCCGUCGCGGGCGCAGGAAAUUUGAGAGGAGCUGUCCUUAGUACGAGAGGACCGGGAUGGACACACCGCUGGUGUACCAGUUGUUCCGCCAGGAGCAUCGCUGGGUAGCUAUGUGUGGCAGGGAUAAACGCUGAAAGCAUCUAAGCGUGAAGCCCCCCUCAAGAUGAGAUUUCCCAUUUCUUCGGAAAGUAAGAUCCCUGAAAGAUGAUCAGGUAGAUAGGUUUGGAGUGGAAGUGUAGCGAUACAUGGAGCGGACAAAUACUAAUCGAUCGAGGACUUAACCAAAA